Long non-coding RNA from Alligator mississippiensis (American alligator), 2543 nucleotides. RefSeq lists it as uncharacterized. Lineage: Eukaryota; Metazoa; Chordata; Crocodylia; Alligatoridae. The record is from RefSeq and is a predicted model, not a curated record. The transcript is spliced from 8 exons.
CUUCCUGUUGGAAGGCGUUUCCAUUCUUGCUGGCUUCCAUCUAGAGGCGGAGACCAGCAGCCUCCUUCGAAAGCCUCUGCCAGUGGACAGUGACACCUCUGGAGGGCCUUGAGUGGAGAUGAUUUCUUCAUGUUCCACAUACUACGCUUGUUCAUGAGCAAGAUUCAACAUCCAGCUGGCACAGAUGGGAGCUCAGCUGAGGACACCACGGCCCUCAGACCUCUAGCAGCAACAUGUGCAUGUUUGGAGAUGCUUACCACCAUCCACUCCAGCCCAGUGUUUAGGGAGCUGCUCCCAAAGAUCCUCUGUGCUCUUCUGGAGCAAGUUGGCUGCACUGUGGGGCAGGACAUGCCAAUGCCCACAGGGAGCAUCUGGCAGAGGAAACUGCUGAAGGGGCAGGUGUGAGCAGUGGGCAACCCUUGCAGGCUUUCUAUGUGGAGACCAUGGCCUAUGCCAUAUCUAAGAGCCUUGGGAAGAGAGUGACUGCAGCCCUCUGCAAAGAGGGAACUUGGCCACUCCCUGAGAGCCCCCAGAUGCACCAGGAGGGCAUGUGCCAGCUGGCCAGCUUGUGACCCCAUCAUCGAAGAGCAGAAGCUCCUGAAGCCAGUGCUUCAUCUACUUCAACAGUGACCAGGGACUUUAAUAACCUGGUUCAGCAGAUGGCAGCCAAAGGACUGGCUGAAAAAACACCAGAACGUCAUCCUGGAGACCUUGUUCCAGGCAUCGUUUGUGCCUACCAAUGCUCAGAUCAUGCGGGGAGGGCAUGCACUCACUGGCUGCUGUCUUGAAUCAUCUAGGGACAGAUGCGGGGCUCCCUGGUUUGGGAUGUAGUCAUGUACAUCAGGACCUUCUUCAACCAUGUGAGUGAGCAGCACUCCCCACCCCCAUUCCAAUGCUCCUCAUUUGGGGCCAUUUCAGAGGUAGGAGAUGCACUUGCUGCCCCUUGUUCCAGUCCGAACUGGAAGAUCUUAAGUUCUGUGGAAGAGAUGAGUUUUCAGGAGGAAAAGCAAGUGAAGAGAACGGGAUGACGGGAGGGACUCUCGGGAGACUGGGCGAGGCUGCAGCUGUGGUCACGGGGCUCGGUAGGGUUCUGGUGCUGUUCUCCGCUGUGUUGAUUCUCCUGAGUCAGAAGCAGAGCUGGGCAGAGACAAGUGAGCACAGGGGCUGGGGGAUUUGGUUUUGCUGGGAUUCGGAAUCGGAGCCCCCAGUGACAGCAUGUUCAGGGAACGAGGCUUGCUGCUGCUCCCUGAGCUCCAGUGAGUGCACUGGCUCCUGGGCAGCCCACCUGGAACAGGAGCUGUCAGAGCCUACCUCCAUGGCAGACCACCUGACAGGCUGGAAACCAAAGGCUCCUGUCAGGAGCUGUGCCAGGCCCAUGAGAGAGAAGUUUGGUUGUGAGCACACUGGGGUUUUUCAGCCACAGGGCAAUGACAAUCUUCGCUCAAUGGCUUUCACCCUGUUCAGUGCCCUGGCAGGUUGCAUAAAGAGAAGAUAGCACGCUUAUUAUAGGAGUCAAGUGAGGCAGAGCUUGGCAAUGCUCCUGUUUCAUCUGGAGGACCCCAACCCGCAGAUGGCCAUGGAGUGCAGAACAACUUUGGGCCUCUGCUGCCCUUACCUGGGCUUAAGGAGGGUUCAGGCAGCCCUGGCCUUCCAUAUCCAGGGGUCAGAGCAGGUGAAAUGAGAGCAGCUGCUGCGGGACAUCUGCAGGCACUUGGCAUCAUUAUGGAGUAUGCUACCCCAAGGAGUGCCGAACGGAUAGAUAUUGCCCGCUUGCUGAGCUGUAAGUCAGAAAUCCAGCCCCUGUACUUCCCUUCUGGAGCCCAGAAGAAGCUGAGAAGCUACAGGGACUGACCCCUCCUGCUUUGGAGCCCAGUGCAUCUGCUCUGCCCUGAAAAUAGCCUAAGAGAGCCUUGCCCCAAGCAGGCUGCUCACAUUCCCCUGGUGCAGCAGGGAGAAGUUGAAUGCAUCUCCUGCCUGUCCUGCCCAGGCCCCUUCCCAGCCACAGCUGCCCAGGCUCUGGCCUCCCUUGGCUUCCUGGGGUCCCUCAGGCUGGGGAAAGUUGUAGCCAGUGCCACUGCCAAUCCUCCCCUGGGCAGCUUGUCUGUAGGGUCCCUUCAUCAGGUGCAAACCAACAUAAACCAGGCCUGUUCCACACUAGGCCUGAGUGCCCAGUUGCAUCCCCUUCCCAAGAGCUGCCAUUGCCAAGGUUUCUGGUGAGAGGCAGGAGAAUCUUGUCAUUGGAAGCUUCCUCCAUGGGCAGCAAAGCUGCUCAGUGCCCAGCAGAAUCAGCAUCUCCCCUCAGUUGGGAAUGCAGGAAGUUCCCAAGGGAGCAGCCACAGCCAUGUCUGUGUGGGAAAGUGUUUCUGAAUGUGUUUGACAAUAAAUUAUGUUCUGUGUUCUGAUUGUUGUUGCUUCUCUUCUCCUGAACACGGCAGAGAGAGAGGAGGGUGAAGCAUUGUAGCUUCGGGAGUGUGUGUCUGCUUGGUUUGGGCUUUAUGGUCAGGUUUGGGUAUCUUGCCUUUUGGUGGGGUUGUGUGGGCAGU